UAGGGAAUAUUGGACAAUGGGCGCAAGCCUGAUCCAGCCAUGCCGCGUGUGUGAAGAAGGCCUUCGGGUUGUAAAGCACUUUUGUCCGGAAAGAAAAGCGCUGGGUUAACACCCUGGUGUCCUGACGGUACCGGAAGAAUAAGCACCGGCUAACUUCGUGCCAGCAGCCGCGGUAAUACGAAGGGUGCAAGCGUUACUCGGAAUUACUGGGCGUAAAGCGUGCGUAGGUGGUUUGUUAAGUCUGAUGUGAAAGCCCUGGGCUCAACCUGGGAAUGGCAUUGGAUACUGGCGAGCUAGAGUGCGGUAGAGGGUAGUGGAAUUCCCGGUGUAGCAGUGAAAUGCGUAGAGAUCGGGAGGAACAUCUGUGGCGAAGGCGACUACCUGGACCAGCACUGACACUGAGGCACGAAAGCGUGGGGAGCAAACAGGAUUAGAUACCCUGGUAGUCCACGCCCUAAACGAUGCGAACUGGAUGUUGGGCUC
This 483-nucleotide ribosomal RNA is filed under the name uncultured Pseudomonadota bacterium. Its description in RNAcentral is "bacterial SSU rRNA". It matches the Rfam family "Bacterial small subunit ribosomal RNA", at positions 355 to 830 of the family's 1533-position model. The record is from RNAcentral. Lineage: Bacteria; Pseudomonadati; Pseudomonadota.